RNAcentral lists this signal recognition particle RNA (100 nucleotides) under Gemmatimonadota bacterium. RNAcentral's name for it is "Gemmatimonadetes bacterium signal recognition particle sRNA small type". It matches the Rfam family "Bacterial small signal recognition particle RNA". Rfam says of the family: The signal recognition particle (SRP) is a universally conserved ribonucleoprotein involved in the co-translational targeting of proteins to membranes. Archaeal SRP consists of a 7S RNA and homologues of the eukaryotic SRP19 and SRP54 proteins. The record is from RNAcentral. Lineage: Bacteria; Pseudomonadati; Gemmatimonadota.
GCCCCAGGUCCGAAGGGCGAAUGCGCGCGAACCGCGUCAGGACCGUGAAGGUAGCAGCGCUAAGCGAUUGCACGCGUCGCUUCGGGUCACCUGGGGCAAU